This 103-nucleotide microRNA precursor is filed under the name Marmota monax (woodchuck). Lineage: Eukaryota; Metazoa; Chordata; Mammalia; Rodentia; Sciuridae. The record is from RNAcentral.
AGUGGAAUAGCUGGGUAAAAUGGUGAUUCCAUUCCAAAUUUUCCAAAGAAUUUCCAUACUGCUUUCUAGAGUGGUUGCACCAAUUUGCAGUCCCACCAGCAGU